ACUGCUGGGGUGACUAGAAUCAAGAAGACUUAUAGGGUUCUAACGACUGAACUUCAUAAUAACUAUGGGGCGGAAAUCGACAAAAGGGAAAGAAAGGAAAAAGAAACGAAAGGAGGAAAAUGCCAAGUACGAUGCAGCCCUGGCAAAAGUGGAAGCAGCAAACAAGGUGCGUACAAGUCAUAGAAAUGUU
Long non-coding RNA from Saccostrea cuccullata (small rock oyster), 190 nucleotides. RefSeq lists it as uncharacterized. The record is from RefSeq and is a predicted model, not a curated record. The transcript has 3 exons. Lineage: Eukaryota; Metazoa; Mollusca; Bivalvia; Ostreida; Ostreidae.